GACGAACGCUGGCGGCGUGCUUAACACAUGCAAGUCGAACGGACAGACCGUGAUUUUGUGGGGUGCUCGUGUGGCGAACGGGUGAGUAUCACGUGAGUAACCUGCCCUUGACUUUGGGAUAACUUAAGGAAACUGGGGCUCAUACCGGGUAGAAGCUGCUGCUUCGCAGGAGGGGUUGUAGAAAUUCGGCGCUUGGGGUUGGUAGCGGGGCUUAUCGGCUUGUUGGUGGGGUAGUGGGUGACCAAGGCUUAGCCGGGUAGCCGGCCUGAGAGGGUGAACGGGCACAUGGCGACUGAGAGAGGGCGCAGACACCUAUGGGAGGCAGUAGUGGGGAAUAUGGCACAAUAGGCGGAAGCCUGAGGAAGAAACGCCGGGGUCGGGAUGCCGGCCUGUGGGUUGAAAACCGCUUUCGCCGGUGACGAAGCGUGAGUGACGGUAACGAGUAAAGAAGCACCGGCUAACUACGUG
This 468-nucleotide ribosomal RNA is filed under the name uncultured bacterium. RNAcentral's name for it is "partial 16S ribosomal RNA". It matches the Rfam family "Bacterial small subunit ribosomal RNA", at positions 28 to 507 of the family's 1533-position model. The record is from RNAcentral.